UACGUAGGAGGCAAGCGUUAUCCGGAUUUACUGGGCGUAAAGAGGGUGUAGGCGGCUUUUCAAGUCGGAUGUAAAAUCUCCCGGCUUAACUGGGAGGGACCAUUCGAUACUGUUGGGCUAGAGUGCAGCAGAGGAAGACGGAAUUCCCGGUGUAGUGGUGAAAUGCGUAGAUAUCGGGAGGAACACCAGUGGCGAAGGCGGUCUUCUGGGCUGUUACUGACGCUGAGACCCAUAAGCGUGGGGAGCAAACAGGAUUAGAUACCCGCGUA
RNAcentral lists this ribosomal RNA (269 nucleotides) under uncultured prokaryote. RNAcentral describes it as "partial 16S ribosomal RNA". It matches the Rfam family "Bacterial small subunit ribosomal RNA", at positions 524 to 792 of the family's 1533-position model. The record is from RNAcentral.